GUGAGGAUAAAAAACAUGUUCAAAUAAACAAACCUUAAUCUUCAUUUAUACAUCCAAUUUUAUAUUUUUUUGCAGAUGAUGUUUUACACCUCUAAAGGUAUAGUCGUGUAAUUAUUACUGUCACUUCAUAUACACAUUCUUUUCGGCGAAUUCCUUCGCCUGGAAAGGCGCUCGAAACGCCGGAAUUGUUGUUAUAUUUUUUACACAGUUUGAUCCUGCAAUUCCUGAAGGAAUAUUAUAUUUUAACCUAAUUCACAGUUCGGUUAUUGAAACCGCAGUGCUUACAUGAUUGUGUUCCAUGUCCUCUUGGCUCCCUGCAAUCUCGUCGAGAUCUCACUUUGAUAGGGGUUACUCAAAUACCUGAGCCUGGCUGUCCACCUUGUAAUCCUUGUGGCAGAGGGACGAUUUAAUUACUACUCGAUGUAUUAUAAUUACUACUUCAUCAAUGUUGUCACACGCGCAACUCUAUACUGCAUGGAUUCAUGUGUAUAUUAGAAUACAAACAAAGUUAGUUAAUUAAUAAAAUAUAUGUCGUAUUUUUUUUCUGCAUGAUGCAUGAAAAAUUAUAUUCCCUAGGCCGCUUUAGUGGUUGUAACUUGUAAGCUUUACAAGAAGAGAUUAUUAAAGACGUUUUUAUAUGUCUGAGACUCUGAUGUGUAUUCUAA
Molecule: non-coding RNA, 665 nt
Organism: Paramuricea clavata
Lineage: Eukaryota; Metazoa; Cnidaria; Anthozoa; Malacalcyonacea; Plexauridae
Source: the annotation of a GenBank genome assembly